CACGGAGUUAGCCGGAGCUUAUUCUCCAGGUACUGUCAUUAUCAUCCCUGGUAAAAGAGCUUUACAACCCUAAGGCCUUCAUCACUCACGCGGCAUUGCUGGAUCAGGGUUUUCCCCCAUUGUCCAAUAUUCCCCACUGCUGCCUCCCGUAGGAGUCUGGGCCGUGUCUCAGUCCCAGUGUGGCUGAUCAUCCUCUCAGACCAGCUAAGGAUCGUCGGCUUGGUAGGCCAUUACCCCACCAACUACCUAAUCCUACGCGGGCUCAUCCCUUGCCGAUAAAUCUUUGGUCCGAAGACAUCAUCCGGUAUUAGCAGCAAUUUCUCACUGUUAUUCCCGAAGCAAGGGGCAGAUUCCCACGCGUUACGCACCCGUGCGCCACUAGAUCCGAAGAUCUCGUUCGACUUGCAUGUGUUAGGCAUGCCGCCAGCGUUCGUUCUGAGCCAGGAUCAAACUC
This 454-nucleotide ribosomal RNA is filed under the name uncultured Novosphingobium sp. RNAcentral's name for it is "partial 16S ribosomal RNA". The record is from RNAcentral. Lineage: Bacteria; Pseudomonadati; Pseudomonadota; Alphaproteobacteria; Sphingomonadales; Sphingomonadaceae.